UACAUUCGUGAAAUGUAAAUUUUACGCUUGCAUAAUUCCAGUUCGUAUUAUAUUUAGUACGCUUGAUGGCCAUAUAACACCGAUUUUUCAUGCCUUGCUUUCUUAUUUAUCAGUCAGUCUGCCAUGCAUCUACAACAAGUCUUCAUAGUCGUGCUCUCUAUGCUUUCCAUUGGAAAUGCCGAAUAUAUUGCUGAUAAAAAAUCAAACGUUGAUUUUUUAUAUAAAUGUGGAACAUAUCUAAUAAAAGGAAGCAAAUAUAUUAAAAAGGCAGGGCUGCUUCUGCAAAUGACUAGCGAAUCCAUGCGAGGUAUUGCGCCCUUUAAUGCAAAAAUGUAUAUAAACCAGUGGCUAGAAGUGGAUGAUGAAGUACCCCGUAAACCCAGCUACCUCAAAUAUUUCAACCUCUUUUAAAUGAUCUAAAUGGAGCCACGCUAAAAAUAUACAAUAAUAAAAAGAAAAACUAGGUCAAAAACACCUCAACAAACUACUUUCUCUGAGUAUCAAAAUUAAUACCGACAGCCUCUAUUAAAGACAUCAUUUCUGAGAACCACAA
Drosophila mojavensis is the source of this 553-nucleotide long non-coding RNA. RefSeq lists it as uncharacterized. The record is from RefSeq and is a predicted model, not a curated record. The transcript is spliced from 2 exons. NCBI's taxonomy places the organism in Eukaryota, Metazoa, Arthropoda, Insecta, Diptera, Drosophilidae.